AGGCGACGUAGCAAAGUGGUAAUGCAGCGGUCUGCAAAACCGCCAUUCGCCGGUUCGAUCCCGGCCGUCGCCUCC
Molecule: transfer RNA, 75 nt
Filed under: Oscillochloris trichoides DG-6
Lineage: Bacteria; Bacillati; Chloroflexota; Chloroflexia; Chloroflexales; Oscillochloridaceae
Description: tRNA-Cys
Rfam family: tRNA
About the family: Transfer RNA (tRNA) molecules are approximately 80 nucleotides in length. Their secondary structure includes four short double-helical elements and three loops (D, anti-codon, and T loops). Further hydrogen bonds mediate the characteristic L-shaped molecular structure. tRNAs have two regions of fundamental functional importance: the anti-codon, which is responsible for specific mRNA codon recognition, and the 3' end, to which the tRNAs corresponding amino acid is attached (by aminoacyl-tRNA synthetases). tRNAs cope with the degeneracy of the genetic code in two manners: having more than one tRNA (with a specific anti-codon) for a particular amino acid; and 'wobble' base-pairing, i.e. permitting non-standard base-pairing at the 3rd anti-codon position.
Source: RNAcentral